This 1002-nucleotide ribosomal RNA is filed under the name Anischnogaster laticeps. Its description in RNAcentral is "eukaryotic LSU rRNA". It matches the Rfam family "Eukaryotic large subunit ribosomal RNA", at positions 386 to 1138 of the family's 3401-position model. The record is from RNAcentral. Lineage: Eukaryota; Metazoa; Arthropoda; Insecta; Hymenoptera; Vespidae.
AAACCUGAGGAACCUGAAAGAUCGAACGGGGAGAUUCAUCGUCAGCGACGCUGGCUUCGCGGUGGUGAGCGAUGCCUUUAAACCUUUGGUUUUUGCGGUACGCCAUCGCCUGUGUUACGUCCGGUGUCGUCGUCGUGCACUUCUCCCCUAGUAGAACGUCGCGACCCGUUGGGUGCCGGUCUAAGACACGGAAGGGCAGACUGUCGCGUCGCUGUAAAAGGCGUUACGGGAUCAGACCUACCGAACGUUCGGCCGGCUGCUCGGCGGUACUCGCACGGUAUUUGGCCGCAUUCAAAGUGUGCGUCGGGCCCGCCGCAAGCGUGGUUCAGCGUAUCCGGAGGUUACGGACCCAGUGCCGUCCCCGGGCCUGUCCAGCUAUUGCCAGGCGGUGUCCUCUGACGGGCCAGAAUAAAGUAAAAUACCGGUCAGCGGCGCUACUGCUUUGGGUACCCUCAGGACCCGUCUUGAAACACGGACCAAGGAGUCUAACAUGUGCGCGAGUCAUUGGGACUUGCAAGCCUAAAGGCGAAAUGAAAGUGAAGGUCGACCCUAGCGUCGAUCGAGGGAGGAUGGGCCGCGUUACGGCGCGGCCUCGCACUCCCGGGGCGUCUCGUUCUCAUUGCGAGAAGAGGCGCACCCAGAGCGUACACGUUGGGACCCGAAAGAUGGUGAACUAUGCCUGGUCAGGACGAAGUCAGGGGAAACCCUGAUGGAGGUCCGUAGCGAUUCUGACGUGCAAAUCGAUCGUCGGAACUGGGUAUAGGGGCGAAAGACUAAUCGAACCAUCUAGUAGCUGGUUCCCUCCGAAGUUUCCCUCAGGAUAGCUGGCACUCGGCCGUUCUCACGAACGCGCACGAGUCUCAUCUGGUAAAGCGAAUGAUUAGAGGCCUUGGGGCCGAAACGACCUCAACCUAUUCUCAAACUUUAAAUGGGUGAGAUCUCUGGCUUGCUUGAACGUGAAGCCACGAGAUUUCGGAUCAGAGAGCCAAGUGGGCCAAUUUU